GGCAGCGUAACAUCUUGGCUUUGGUGCUGCACAAAGAUUCCUCCAGAGCAGUUUCUUCACUUUGACGCACCGCGAUACAGGCAUCAAAAACAAGUGCAGUGCACCCUCUAGCUUGAACCUUGCUUCCGCCACCCAUACGCAGGACGCACCGCAGUAUAGGCAUCGAAAGAAGGCCGAAAACACCCGUGAGCCCCUUCCCUUGCCGAAAUCUCUUCUCCUCUUUCAUCCCUGUGAACAUGCUUCUUUUUUGUCUCCUUGGACCUGCACUGUUUGUUAACACAAAGGCAAAUGGAGGUGUAUUUGGUUGUUUUGGUUUUUGAUUUUGGUGGGCAACAAUGAGGGAUUUGAGGCUUUGUGAGUUGUGAUGGUGUUGUUGGCAUAUUUGGCCGGAGUGGUUUAUUUGGGGAACGGAAGGCUUGUUUCUGGUGCUUAGAAGCAGAGGCAAGUCUACACUUUAGCAACGAUGAAAGGAAAUAGUAGGAAAAGACCAUGGAAUCAGCAGGAUACCUGACUUUAAAGCUCCUUGCCGGGUCGUCAUCUCCAGCCUUGUGCUCUUUAUAUAGGAGGCAGUGAAGACUCUGGAGGGCUGGAUAAGCCUUCAUUUGAAAUUCAAAUUUCGCGAAGCUCACGAAGAUAAGCUGACCAGAGACCUCAUCUUUGACACCGAGAUUGAACUAGGACGCACUCUGCUACUUCAUUCUUAUCUCAAAUUGAGAUAUUUGAGUUAAAAUUUGAAUGCCUCCCUUUGUUUCUGUUUUGUAGUAUCCACGUUAGAAGUAGGUCAACAUUCAACUUCUUGUUUGAAUAUGAAUAAGAUAAAUGUAACUAAAGCAAUUUUUUUAAUUGCUGCCACUAUUUUUCUUC
This is a long non-coding RNA of Rosa chinensis, 864 nucleotides long. RefSeq lists it as uncharacterized. The transcript is spliced from 3 exons. The record is from RefSeq and is a predicted model, not a curated record. Lineage: Eukaryota; Viridiplantae; Streptophyta; Magnoliopsida; Rosales; Rosaceae.